This 1400-nucleotide ribosomal RNA is filed under the name uncultured bacterium. RNAcentral describes it as "bacterial SSU rRNA". The stretch from base 677 to 1400 matches the Rfam family "Bacterial small subunit ribosomal RNA", at positions 1 to 749 of the family's 1533-position model. The record is from RNAcentral.
GCUGGCGGUAUGCUUAACACAUGCAAGUCGAACGAGAAGGAAGAGCUUGCUCUUCCUGAAAGUGGCGAACGGGUGAGUAACGCGUGGGUAACCUACCCUUUGGAAAGGAAUAGCCUCGGGAAACUGGGAGUAAUGCCUUAUAAGAUACGUUUGUCGCAUGGCAUUUGUAUUAAACGCUCCGGCGCCAUAGGAUGGACCCGCGUCCCAUUAGCUAGUUGGUGAGAUAACAGCUCACCAAGGCCACGAUGGGUAACCGGUCUGAGAGGGCGAACGGUCACACUGGAACUGAGACACGGUCCAGACUCCUACGGGAGGCAGCAGUGGGGAAUAUUGCGCAAUGGGGGCAACCCUGACGCAGCAAUACCGCGUGAGUGAAGAAGGUUUUCGGAUCGUAAAGCUCUGUUAUUGGGGAAGAAAAAAAGACGGUACCCAAGAAGAAAGUUCCGGCUAACUACGUGCCAGCAGCCGCGGUAAUACGUAGGGAACAAGCGUUGUCCGGAUUUACUGGGCGUAAAGGGCACGCAGGCGGUUUUUUAAGUCAGAUGUGAAAGGCCACAGCUCAACUGUGGACAUGCAUUUGAAACUGAAAGACUUGAGUAUUGGAGAGGCAAGUGGAAUUCCUAGUGUAGCGGUGAAAUGCGUAGAUAUUAGGAGGAACACCGGUGGCGAAGGCGGCUUGCUGGACAAAUACUGACGCUGAGCUGGCGGUAUGCUUAACACAUGCAAGUCGAACGAGAAGGAAGAGCUUGCUCUUCCUGAAAGUGGCGAACGGGUGAGUAACGCGUGGGUAACCUACCCUUUGGAAAGGAAUAGCCUCGGGAAACUGGGAGUAAUGCCUUAUAAGAUACGUUUGUCGCAUGGCAUUUGUAUUAAACGCUCCGGCGCCAUAGGAUGGACCCGCGUCCCAUUAGCUAGUUGGUGAGAUAACAGCUCACCAAGGCCACGAUGGGUAACCGGUCUGAGAGGGCGAACGGUCACACUGGAACUGAGACACGGUCCAGACUCCUACGGGAGGCAGCAGUGGGGAAUAUUGCGCAAUGGGGGCAACCCUGACGCAGCAAUACCGCGUGAGUGAAGAAGGUUUUCGGAUCGUAAAGCUCUGUUAUUGGGGAAGAAAAAAAGACGGUACCCAAGAAGAAAGUUCCGGCUAACUACGUGCCAGCAGCCGCGGUAAUACGUAGGGAACAAGCGUUGUCCGGAUUUACUGGGCGUAAAGGGCACGCAGGCGGUUUUUUAAGUCAGAUGUGAAAGGCCACAGCUCAACUGUGGACAUGCAUUUGAAACUGAAAGACUUGAGUAUUGGAGAGGCAAGUGGAAUUCCUAGUGUAGCGGUGAAAUGCGUAGAUAUUAGGAGGAACACCGGUGGCGAAGGCGGCUUGCUGGACAAAUACUGACGCUGA